Molecule: long non-coding RNA, 217 nt
Organism: Bos indicus x Bos taurus (hybrid cattle)
Lineage: Eukaryota; Metazoa; Chordata; Mammalia; Artiodactyla; Bovidae
Source: Ensembl
CCGAAUCGAACCAGACCCUGGAAGUGCCUCUGAACAGGAGUCAGAGGAUGGAGAAACACAUCAAGGACCCUCAGAUUCCAAGACCCCAGGCUGUGAGAGCUUUCUGCAAAGCAGCAGAUAAACUUUAAAGUAAGUUUGUCUUGUCAAAAGAAAUCAUAUUGCUGCUUUAACUGGAAUUGCUUUGAAUGAGGAAAACUGAAAUUUUUACAGCACUGAG